Molecule: non-coding RNA, 1417 nt
Organism: Salmo salar (Atlantic salmon)
Lineage: Eukaryota; Metazoa; Chordata; Actinopteri; Salmoniformes; Salmonidae
Source: RefSeq, a predicted model, not a curated record
GUUGUGUUUUUGUUAUAUUCCCAACAUUAUUGAGGACAUUAUUAUUAGGAUGCUGCAGUAAUGUUGAGAUGCCUGUAGGAGGAGCUCUAGUCUAGAACACUGGAACCUUCAGUACCACUUUGAUACAGCUGAUGAGGAGUGUAAAUUGAAUGGGUUUGUAGAAUAGAAUGAAUGACAUCAUGGAACUGACCAAAUGUAAAUGGAACUUUGACCUGUUCCAUGUAGAACUCAGAGGGACAAGGCAACACAUUCUAAGAUAUUAUAAACAUUCCAAAUAGAAUAGUCAACAUAUUGUUAACAUGGUUCUGUAUUUAUAUAGAAGUGGAUAUUUGGGACAUUUUGUCCAUUAUAGAAAUGUAGGGCCCACUCUAAUACAAUAACCUCCCUUUUCUGACAUGUUGUUCUGAUCGUCAUGCACGUUAAUGACUUAAAGAGGAAGGAAUGGACAGUUCUGUAUCAUCUACUUUUGUUCUGACUACUUUCGUUUCAUGUUAAUUAAUUCUGUGUUCCCGGUCCAAAAUGACCGUUUUUUUAAAAACACCCAAAAUGUAAUGAAGAUCAUCAAAAAAAUGUUUGUGUGUUCAGAUGCCCUGUGUGGACAAAGUCAUGGAACCUUAUGACAAUCAGAUUAAAUGAACGACAUUUUUCAGAGAGAAAAUCGGUUCAAUUCCACCGGAACACAGCAGGAGGGUUAAAUAUGCAUCAAAGGGAAAGGAAAUGGGGAUACCUAGUCAGUUGUACAACUGAAUGCUUCAACUGAAAUGUGUCUUCUGCAUUUAACCCAACCCCUACGCAACUACAGAACUGACACUUACUAGCAGUUCCCACUCACUACCAGUCAGUUGACUCACUGUACAAGACCUCUCCCCUUCAGUCUACUGCAGGGUGGGAGAUGCAACAAUGGCCUUGAGAACAGCAGGAAGUGUGUUGGUGGUCUUUCUCUGGUCUGUAGCAGGAGUCUCCACUUCACUUUAAAUAGUUAUCUUUCACACCUCACUGAGGGAUGCUUAUCAACUCAGCAACUACAACAAAGUGUGGACAAACACAACAGAACCUGGACAGAAGAGAACCACAACAGAACCUGGAAUGAAGAGAACCACCACAGAACCUGGACUGAAGAGAACCACCACAGAACCUGGACUGAAGAGAAACAAAACAGAACCUGGACUGAAGAGAACCACCACAGAACCUGGACUGAAGAGAACCACCACAGAACCUGGACUGAAGAGAAACAGCAUCAAACCAAAGCUAGGCCUCACAAUGCUCUUCUCUUACUAUGAUAUUGCUUUCUAAUCUAGAAGGUUUAAAACAAUGAGCUUUAGCUUUUGAGUAAAUGCUGGAAUUUAGAUUGUUCUCCUAAUGAUAAAUACAGUAUGUGCACUACCGUUCAAAAGUUUGGGGACACUUAAAACUUCCU